This is a long non-coding RNA of Lycium barbarum (goji berry), 492 nucleotides long. RefSeq lists it as uncharacterized. The record is from RefSeq and is a predicted model, not a curated record. NCBI's taxonomy places the organism in Eukaryota, Viridiplantae, Streptophyta, Magnoliopsida, Solanales, Solanaceae. The transcript is spliced from 3 exons.
UCCGUAAACAGAGAUAUACUCAGCAUGCGUCUCUUCUAUUUCCAGUUACAGAAAAAUCAACAAACAGAGAUACACUUAGCGUGCGUCACUCUGCGUUUCUUGGAGUUUGCUUCUCAUCAAGAUUUGGGAUUUAAUGGGUUAACCAGAGCUUGUUGCUCUUCACCUGCUCUUAAGUUGAUUAUUUCGAACUUCUCUUCGGUUCAACAGCUCAGACUCAACUAUCUUCUCCAUUAAGACAAAUGCAGCUCAAGAAUUUGAGGAUGGAAGAAUCUAUCGUUCAAGAAAGUGAGGAGCAAGUUGAAGUGCAAGAGGGCUUUUAUUGCAUUAGGGGUCGUGUAAAGACGAUAUCUUAUGUAUAUAUGUUGUAAUUUUUAUUUUUAGGAGUUGGUAAAGAUGAUGUCAUACAACUUGGGUAUGGUAGAUCAUUCUUUAAUCAGUUCUUUGUAUUAAAAAUGAAGUUUUAUAUGGAAUAUUAGUUAUUUAGUAUUCUUU